Molecule: ribosomal RNA, 3005 nt
Filed under: Salmonella enterica subsp. enterica
Lineage: Bacteria; Pseudomonadati; Pseudomonadota; Gammaproteobacteria; Enterobacterales; Enterobacteriaceae
Description: bacterial LSU rRNA
Rfam family: Bacterial large subunit ribosomal RNA
Source: RNAcentral
UUAAGCGACUAAGCGUACACGGUGGAUGCCCUGGCAGUCAGAGGCGAUGAAGGACGUGCUAAUCUGCGAUAAGCGCCGGUAAGGUGAUAUGAACCGUUAUAACCGGCGAUUUCCGAAUGGGGAAACCCAGUGUGAUUCGUCACACUAUCAUUAACUGAAUCCAUAGGUUAAUGAGGCGAACCGGGGGAACUGAAACAUCUAAGUACCCCGAGGAAAAGAAAUCAACCGAGAUUCCCCCAGUAGCGGCGAGCGAACGGGGAGGAGCCCAGAGCCUGAAUCAGCAUGUGUGUUAGUGGAAGCGUCUGGAAAGGCGCGCGAUACAGGGUGACAGCCCCGUACACAAAAGCGCAUGUGCUGUGAGCUCGAUGAGUAGGGCGGGACACGUGGUAUCCUGUCUGAAUAUGGGGGGACCAUCCUCCAAGGCUAAAUACUCCUGACUGACCGAUAGUGAACCAGUACCGUGAGGGAAAGGCGAAAAGAACCCCGGCGAGGGGAGUGAAAAAGAACCUGAAACCGUGUACGUACAAGCAGUGGGAGCCCCACCACUAAGCCAGUGGUGAACUCCACAUACGCAUCCUUUGCUGAGGAUACGGUUAACGGAGCGCAAGCGACGUUCAACCGCAAAAGAAGCAGAGGGGGCUUAGUGGUGGGGUGACUGCGUACCUUUUGUAUAAUGGGUCAGCGACUUAUAUUCUGUAGCAAGGUUAACCGCAUAGGGGAGCCGGAGGGAAACCGAGUCUUAAUUGGGCGUUAAGUUGCAGGGUAUAGACCCGAAACCCGGUGAUCUAGCCAUGGGCAGGUUGAAGGUUGGGUAACACUAACUGGAGGACCGAACCGACUAAUGUUGAAAAAUUAGCGGAUGACCUGUGGCUGGGGGUGAAAGGCCAAUCAAACCGGGAGAUAGCUGGUUCUCCCCGAAAGCUAUUUAGGUAGCGCCUCGUGAAUUCAUCUCCGGGGGUAGAGCACUGUUUCGGCUAGGGGGCCAUCCCGGCUUACCAACCCGAUGCAAACUGCGAAUACCGGAGAAUGUUAUCACGGGAGACACACGGCGGGUGCUAACGUCCGUCGUGAAGAGGGAAACAACCCAGACCGCCAGCUAAGGUCCCAAAGUCAUGGUUAAGUGGGAAACGAUGUGGGAAGGCCCAGACAGCCAGGAUGUUGGCUUAGAAGCAGCCAUCAUUUAAAGAAAGCGUAAUAGCUCACUGGUCGAGUCGGCCUGCGCGGAAGAUGUAACGGGGCUAAACCAUGCACCGAAGCUGCGGCAGCGACACUCAGGUGUUGUUGGGUAGGGGAGCGUUCUGUAAGCCUGUGAAGGUGGCCUGUGAGGGUUGCUGGAGGUAUCAGAAGUGCGAAUGCUGACAUAAGUAACGAUAAAGCGGGUGAAAAGCCCGCUCGCCGGAAGACCAAGGGUUCCUGUCCAACGUUAAUCGGGGCAGGGUGAGUCGACCCCUAAGGCGAGGCCGAAAGGCGUAGUCGAUGGGAAACGGGUUAAUAUUCCCGUACUUGGUGUUACUGCGAAGGGGGGACGGAGAAGGCUAUGUUGGCCGGGCGACGGUUGUCCCGGUUUAAGCGUGUAGGUGUGUGUUCCAGGUAAAUCCGGUUCACUUUAACACUGAGGCGUGACGACGAGGCACUACGGUGCUGAAGCAACAAAUGCCCUGCUUCCAGGAAAAGCCUCUAAGCAUCAGGUAACAUCAAAUCGUACCCCAAACCGACACAGGUGGUCAGGUAGAGAAUACCAAGGCGCUUGAGAGAACUCGGGUGAAGGAACUAGGCAAAAUGGUGCCGUAACUUCGGGAGAAGGCACGCUGACACGUAGGUGAAGUGAUUUACUCAUGGAGCUGAAGUCAGUCGAAGAUACCAGCUGGCUGCAACUGUUUAUUAAAAACACAGCACUGUGCAAACACGAAAGUGGACGUAUACGGUGUGACGCCUGCCCGGUGCCGGAAGGUUAAUUGAUGGGGUCAGCGCAAGCGAAGCUCCUGAUCGAAGCCCCGGUAAACGGCGGCCGUAACUAUAACGGUCCUAAGGUAGCGAAAUUCCUUGUCGGGUAAGUUCCGACCUGCACGAAUGGCGUAAUGAUGGCCAGGCUGUCUCCACCCGAGACUCAGUGAAAUUGAACUCGCUGUGAAGAUGCAGUGUACCCGCGGCAAGACGGAAAGACCCCGUGAACCUUUACUAUAGCUUGACACUGAACAUUGAGCCUUGAUGUGUAGGAUAGGUGGGAGGCUUUGAAGCGUGGACGCCAGUCUGCGUGGAGCCGACCUUGAAAUACCACCCUUUAAUGUUUGAUGUUCUAACGUGGACCCGUGAUCCGGGUUGCGGACAGUGUCUGGUGGGUAGUUUGACUGGGGCGGUCUCCUCCUAAAGAGUAACGGAGGAGCACGAAGGUUGGCUAAUCCUGGUCGGACAUCAGGAGGUUAGUGCAAUGGCAUAAGCCAGCUUGACUGCGAGCGUGACGGCGCGAGCAGGUGCGAAAGCAGGUCAUAGUGAUCCGGUGGUUCUGAAUGGAAGGGCCAUCGCUCAACGGAUAAAAGGUACUCCGGGGAUAACAGGCUGAUACCGCCCAAGAGUUCAUAUCGACGGCGGUGUUUGGCACCUCGAUGUCGGCUCAUCACAUCCUGGGGCUGAAGUAGGUCCCAAGGGUAUGGCUGUUCGCCAUUUAAAGUGGUACGCGAGCUGGGUUUAGAACGUCGUGAGACAGUUCGGUCCCUAUCUGCCGUGGGCGCUGGAGAACUGAGGGGGGCUGCUCCUAGUACGAGAGGACCGGAGUGGACGCAUCACUGGUGUUCGGGUUGUCAUGCCAAUGGCACUGCCCGGUAGCUAAAUGCGGAAGAGAUAAGUGCUGAAAGCAUCUAAGCACGAAACUUGCCCCGAGAUGAGUUCUCCCUGAGACUUAAAGUCUCCUGAAGGAACGUUGAAGACGACGACGUUGAUAGGCCGGGUGUGUAAGCGCAGCGAUGCGUUGAGCUAACCGGUACUAAUGAACCGUGAGGCUUAACCUU